CAGCAGUGGGGAAUUUUGCGCAAUGGGGGAAACCCUGACGCAGCAACGCCGCGUGGAGGAUGAAGUCUUUCGGGACGUAAACUCCUUUCGAUCGGGACGAUAAUGACGGUACCGGAAGAAGAAGCCCCGGCUAACUUCGUU
Molecule: ribosomal RNA, 141 nt
Filed under: uncultured bacterium
Lineage: Bacteria
Description: partial 16S ribosomal RNA
Rfam family: Bacterial small subunit ribosomal RNA
Source: RNAcentral